RNAcentral lists this unclassified non-coding RNA (760 nucleotides) under Hevea brasiliensis (rubber tree). The record is from RNAcentral. Lineage: Eukaryota; Viridiplantae; Streptophyta; Magnoliopsida; Malpighiales; Euphorbiaceae.
GGUCCAGGAAAUCUUCCAACCCAGUAAGUCUACAUUAAUUUUUGUACCUUGUCUAUUGUGUCACUUUUUUUUUUUAACGAUUUCUAUUGUGUCACUUUGAAACUUCUUCAAUUGCACUUUGUAAUUGAUUAUAUUGCCCUGUUGUUCAAUAUCUCUCUCUGUCUCUCUCAUGUUUGGUGGAACUGUGAUAGUUCAUUUCUUUAUUUUGGAUUUAUGGGUGUCUGAAUGGGGAUUGAUAUAGGAUAUUUUGAGCAAAUUAAGCGUUGAGGAACUGAAUAUUUAUGCCCCUUAGAAAAGAAGGGGGAAAAAAAAGAAAAGGAAAUUGAAUAUUUUAAUAAUGAUGAUAUUUCUUUUAUUAUAUAAACUAAUAGAAUUUUAAAUUUACUUGAAAUUAAGCUAAUAAUGUGGAAUUACCCUGAAAAUACCCUUUUGGGGCAGGGAAGGCGCAGUGAUAAUAUUCUUCUGAAAUUUUGUAGUUUCUCUAAUUGAUGUGGUGAAGACUGUGUAGACAAAGUAGGACAAACAAUGAAGUAAUGAUGGAAUUUUGCUACUAAGAUUUUGAAAAAAGAGUUGCUGUUGUCAUAGACAAAAAUUCGUUUGUUUUUUUGGUCUAAAUUGCUUCAUAAAUCCAAAUUUAAUGGCAGUGAGUGAAUAAAAUUGAAGGCCAUAGAUGUCCAGCUCCGGGCUUCCUUACCCCCACCGCCUCUUCCUCAUUUCCCUUGAGUCCUGAACUAGAAAAGAGCUCCCCAAAAAAAUAGGG